This 596-nucleotide long non-coding RNA is filed under the name Olea europaea subsp. europaea. Lineage: Eukaryota; Viridiplantae; Streptophyta; Magnoliopsida; Lamiales; Oleaceae. The record is from RNAcentral.
UAAAAUUCUAGCUAUGUUAUAUGAAGACAAGAUUUCAAGCUAUUGAUUGCUAACAUUUCUAGCUCAAAGAGACAGCCAACUGAGUUGGACACAUUAUAUGUUCCAUAUAUUAUUUUCUUCGACACUACAAAAUACACAAUAUCAUCCUUCAGAAUAAAAAAUGAAUAACAGAAUAGGGUCAGAAAAUCAAGUCUAGUUGGGAAGACGUGCAAAGUUCAUACCGCUAAAAAUUAAGUACAAAUCUGACACAAUAGCAUUUUGGGAACGUGAAUACCCUACAAAUCGUUAUUCUUUACUCUCCGAAUUGUAAAUCCAUGAGUCGUAGAGUUGACACUUAUGAUGAUAGCAACCGCUUACAUCUCACUCUGUUUCAUUCAAAAUUGGAACAAUAAGCGGCUUCAUCUGUGCUAAAUAAACUAUCGCCCACCUGUUCAAGGAAAAGGAGAAACAACGUGAACUUAAUUAGAAAAGAAUCAAGUAAAAUACAAGCAAAACAAACCAAACACAUUUUUUUUUUUUUUUUUUUUGGGGUACCAGAACUGAACAAAUUUUACAACUAAACCAACUAUUGUCAAGGAUACACUAAUAAAACCGAA